This 500-nucleotide ribosomal RNA is filed under the name uncultured bacterium. Its description in RNAcentral is "bacterial SSU rRNA". It matches the Rfam family "Bacterial small subunit ribosomal RNA", at positions 28 to 536 of the family's 1533-position model. The record is from RNAcentral.
GACGAACGCUGGCGGCGUGCUUAACACAUGCAAGUCGAACGGACGAGUGAGAUAAGUUUACUUAACUCACAAGUUAGUGGCGGACGGGUGAGUAACACGUGGAUAAUCUACCUGCAACACCCGGGAUAACGCUGUGAAAACGGUGCUAAUACCGGAUACGUUCCCUUGUGCGCAUGUAUGAGGGAAGAAAGCUCAGGCGGUUGCAGAUGAGUCCGCGGCUGAUUAGCUAGUUGGUGAGGUAAAGGCUCACCAAGGCGAUGAUCAGUAGCCGGCCUGAGAGGGUGAACGGCCACACUGGGACUGAGACACGGCCCAGACUCCUACGGGGGGCAGCAGUGGGGAAUCUUCCACAAUGGGCGAAAGCCUGAUGGAGCGACGCCGCGUGAGCGAAGAAGGCCUUGGGUUGUAAAGCUCUGUCUGGAGGGAGAAGGAAGUGACGGUACCUCCGGAGGAAGCCACGGCUAACUACCGUGCCAGCAGCCGCGGUAAUGAUAGUACCA